Molecule: transfer RNA, 77 nt
Filed under: Glacieibacterium megasporae
Lineage: Bacteria; Pseudomonadati; Pseudomonadota; Alphaproteobacteria; Sphingomonadales; Sphingosinicellaceae
Also listed under: 1 other name
Description: Polymorphobacter megasporae tRNA-Arg
Rfam family: tRNA
About the family: Transfer RNA (tRNA) molecules are approximately 80 nucleotides in length. Their secondary structure includes four short double-helical elements and three loops (D, anti-codon, and T loops).
Source: RNAcentral
GCGCCCGUAGCUCAGCUGGAUAGAGCACGGGACUUCUAAUCCUGAGGUCGCUGGUUCGAACCCAGCCGGGCGCACCA